This is a non-coding RNA of Podarcis lilfordi (Lilford's wall lizard), 69 nucleotides long. The record is from the annotation of a GenBank genome assembly. NCBI's taxonomy places the organism in Eukaryota, Metazoa, Chordata, Lepidosauria, Squamata, Lacertidae.
GCUGUGGCGCAGUGAUAGAGCAUCUGUUUUGCAUGCAGAAGGUUCCAAUUUCAAUCCAUGGCAUCUCCA